AGUGAACGCUGGCGGUAGGCCUAACACAUGCAAGUCGAACGGCAGCACAGUAAGAGCUUGCUCUUACGGGUGGCGAGUGGCGGACGGGUGAGGAAUACAUCGGAAUCUACUUUUUCGUGGGGGAUAACGUAGGGAAACUUACGCUAAUACCGCAUACGACCUACGGGUGAAAGCAGGGGAUCUUCGGACCUUGCGCGAUUGAAUGAGCCGAUGUCGGAUUAGCUAGUUGGCGGGGUAAAGGCCCACCAAGGCGACGAUCCGUAGCUGGUCUGAGAGGAUGGUCAGGCCAAACUGAAACGAGAACCCGGUCCGACUCCCUCGGGGGGGAGGCGGUGGGAAUAUUGGGAAAAGGGCGGCAACCCGGACCCGGCAAAACGGGGGGGGUAAAGAGGGCCUUCGGGUGUUAAACCCUUUUUGUGGGAAAGAAAAGCAGCAGGUUAAUACCCCGCUGUUCUGACGGUACCCAAAGAAUAAGCACCGGCUAACUUCGUG
This 492-nucleotide ribosomal RNA is filed under the name uncultured bacterium. RNAcentral describes it as "partial 16S ribosomal RNA". It matches the Rfam family "Bacterial small subunit ribosomal RNA", at positions 29 to 507 of the family's 1533-position model. The record is from RNAcentral.